CCUCCUCCUCCUCCUAACUCACGAUGGAGGUAUAGGACUAGAAUAACGUCAUCAGGCCUUAUCAAUCAAUCAACCAAUCAAUUCAUCAAUCAAUAGAUUAUUAUAUAUGACCCUCUACACACUUCGUACCCUGUAUGUCCCCAUAAUAUGAACGAGAGAAGGAGAGGAGAUUGAGAGUCAGCACAAAAAACAGUCCAGCUCAACAACAACCCCUCAACCAGACCCGGAGAGCUGAAGGUGGAGAGAAACAUGUCUGCAACUGUAGACAAGCAGUAGAGGAGAGGAACAGACUGCUGGAGGAGGGGAACAGACUGCUGGAGGAGGGGAACAGACUGCUGGAGGAGAGGAACAGACUGCUGGAGGAGAGGAACAGACUGCUGGAGGAGAGGAACAGACUGCUGGAGGAGAGGAACAGACUGCUGGAGGAGGGGAACAGACUGCUGGAGGAGAGGAACAGACUGCUGGAGGAGAGGAACAGACUGCUGGAGGAGAGGAACAGACUGCUGGAGGAGAGGAACAGACUGCUGGAGGAGAGGAACAGACUGCUGGAGGAGAGGAACAGACUGUCUUGUGACAGAGAACAGCCCAUUACAGAGGUGGCCACCCCCGCAGAGAAGCCAGCAGAACAGCCCAUUAGAGAUACCUUAUAACUGGAGAUGACUUCAAAACGGUUGCCUACAGUUACCGUGUAGGACACUGCAAGGUCGGGUGACCAGGACACUGCAAGGUCGGGUGACCAGGGCACUGCACGGUCGGGUGACCAGGGCACUGCACGGUCGGGUGACCAGGGCACUGCACGGUCGGGUGACCAGGGCACUGCACGGUCGGGUGACCAGGGCACUGCACGGUCGGGUGACCAGGGCACUGCACGGUCGGGUGACCAGGGCACUGCACGGUCGGGUGACCAGGGCACUGCACGGUCGGGUGACCAGGGCACUGCACGGUCGGGUGACCAGGGCACUGCACGGUCGGGUGACC
Molecule: long non-coding RNA, 978 nt
Organism: Oncorhynchus keta (chum salmon)
Lineage: Eukaryota; Metazoa; Chordata; Actinopteri; Salmoniformes; Salmonidae
Exons: 3
Source: RefSeq, a predicted model, not a curated record